RNAcentral lists this transfer RNA (72 nucleotides) under Phrynosoma platyrhinos (Desert horned lizard). Its description in RNAcentral is "tRNA-OTHER". The record is from RNAcentral. Lineage: Eukaryota; Metazoa; Chordata; Lepidosauria; Squamata; Phrynosomatidae.
GUCAGUGUGGCGUAGUGAUUUGUGUGUUGGACUAUGACUCUAGAGAUCAGGGUUUGAUUCCCAGCUUGGCCA